GACCGCUGGCCGGCAUGCUUUACACAUGCAAGUCGAACGGCAGCGAGGAGAAGCUUGCUUCUCUGUCGGCGAGUGGCGAACGGGUGAGUAUAGCAUCGGAACGUGCCAAGUAGUGGGGGAUAACCAAACGAAAGUUUGGCUAAUACCGCGUAAGCUCUAAGGAGGAAAGUAGGGGGCCUAAAUAAGGCCUUACGCUAUUUGAUCGGCCGAUGUCGGAUUAGCUAGUUGGUGGGGUAAUGGCUCACCAAGGCAAUGAUCCGUAGCGGGUCUGAGAGGACGAUCCGCCACACUGGGACUGAGACACGGCCCAGACUCCUACGGGAGGCAGCAGUGGGGAAUUUUGGACAAUGGGGGAAACCCUGAUCCAGCCAUGCCGCGUGUAUGAAGAAGGCCUUAGGGUUGUAAAGUACUUUUGUUAGGGAAGAAAAGCUAGUUUUUAAUAAAAAUUAGUGAUGACGGUACCUAAAGAAUAAGCACCGGCUAACUACGUGCCAGCAGCCGCGGUAAUACGUAGGGUGCAAGCGUUAAUCGGAAUUAUUGGGCGUAAAGCGAGUGCAGACGGUUACUUAAGCCAGAUGUGAAAUCCCCAAGCUUAACUUGGGACGUGCAUUUGGAACUGGGUGACUAGGGUGUGUCAGAGGGAGGUAGAAUUCCACAUGUAGCGGUGGAAUGCGUAGAGAUGUGGAGGAAUACCGAUGGCGAAGGCAGCCUCCUGGGAUAACACUGACGUUGAGGCUCGAAAGCGUGGGGAGCAAACAGGAUUAGAUACCCUGGUAGUCCACGCCCUAAACGAUGACAAUUAGCUGUUGGGCUUUGAAAGGCUUAGUAGCGAAGCUAACGCGAGAAAUUGUCCGCCUGGGGAGUACGGUCGCAAGAUUA
This 879-nucleotide ribosomal RNA is filed under the name uncultured bacterium. RNAcentral's name for it is "bacterial SSU rRNA". It matches the Rfam family "Bacterial small subunit ribosomal RNA", at positions 31 to 896 of the family's 1533-position model. The record is from RNAcentral.